UACGGAGGGUGCGAGCGUUGUUCGGAAUUACUGGGCGUAAAGCGCGUGUAGGCGGCCUCCUCAGUCCGCUGUGAAAGUCGGGGGCUCAACCCUCGAAUGCCGGUGGAUACUGUCGGGCUAGAGUGCGGAAGAGGCGAGUGGAAUUCCUGGUGUAGCGGUGAAAUGCGCAGAUAUCAGGAGGAACACCAAUUGCGAAGGCAGCUCGCUGGGACGUUACUGACGCUGAGACGCGAAAGCGUGGGGAGCAAACAGG
RNAcentral lists this ribosomal RNA (253 nucleotides) under uncultured bacterium. Its description in RNAcentral is "partial 16S ribosomal RNA". It matches the Rfam family "Bacterial small subunit ribosomal RNA", at positions 524 to 776 of the family's 1533-position model. The record is from RNAcentral.